This 482-nucleotide ribosomal RNA is filed under the name uncultured bacterium. RNAcentral describes it as "partial 16S ribosomal RNA". It matches the Rfam family "Bacterial small subunit ribosomal RNA", at positions 30 to 507 of the family's 1533-position model. The record is from RNAcentral.
AUUGAACGCUGGCGGCAUGCCUUACACAUGCAAGUCGAACGGUAACAGGUCUUCGGAUGCUGACGAGUGGCGCACGGGUGAGUAAUACAUCGGAACGUGCCCAGACGUGGGGGAUAACGAGGCGAAAGCUUUGCUAAUACCGCAUACGAUCUAAGGAUGAAAGCAGGGGACCGCAAGGCCUUGCGCGUUUGGAGCGGCCGAUGGCAGAUUAGGUAGUUGGUGGGAUAAAAGCUUACCAAGCCGACGAUCUGUAGCUGGUCUGAGAGGACGACCAGCCACACUGGGACUGAGACACGGCCCAGACUCCUACGGGAGGCAGCAGUGGGGAAUUUUGGACAAUGGGCGAAAGCCUGAUCCAGCAAUGCCGCGUGCAGGAUGAAGGCCUUCGGGUUGUAAACUGCUUUUGUACGGAACGAAAAGGCUCCGGCUAAUACCUGGGGCACAUGACGGUACCGUAAGAAUAAGCACCGGCUAACUACAUG